GCCGAAGUGGCGGAAUUGGUAGACGCACCGGACUCAAAAUCCGGCGGUGGCAACACCAUCCCGGUUCGACCCCGGGCUUCGGCACCA
RNAcentral lists this transfer RNA (87 nucleotides) under Chitinispirillales bacterium. RNAcentral describes it as "tRNA-Leu". It matches the Rfam family "tRNA". From Rfam's summary of the family: Transfer RNA (tRNA) molecules are approximately 80 nucleotides in length. Their secondary structure includes four short double-helical elements and three loops (D, anti-codon, and T loops). Lineage: Bacteria; Pseudomonadati; Fibrobacterota; Chitinispirillia; Chitinispirillales. The record is from RNAcentral.